Molecule: non-coding RNA, 827 nt
Organism: Arachis ipaensis
Lineage: Eukaryota; Viridiplantae; Streptophyta; Magnoliopsida; Fabales; Fabaceae
Source: RefSeq, a predicted model, not a curated record
GGAUGAAAAUUUCUAAUAGAUAAUUUGAAGCUCUAACUUUUUUGCUUCUUUGAAUCUCCAGUGGGCAGUGACAACAAGUGGCAUGAGGAUUGUUUGUACAAGACAUUUUACUUUUUAAAUUGAUGAGCUCGUUCAAUUGUUUUAUUGAAGACUAAAUUUGCUGAAAGGUUCAUAGUUGGAAUCUAAAACAGGUUUAGGAUUAAAUAAGUGCAACAGAUCAAAUUUACUUGAACAUUAUUUCUUUGAUUUUUAACAAAAUAGUAUCUCUUGUUUUCAAGAUUUUGUAAAAACAAAAGUUGAAAUCAUUAAAUCUGUUUUUAUUAUGCUUUUCUAAAUCUUGUAAAAGUAAGAAACAUUAAGAAGAAAUCAAGGGAUGAUAACAGAAAGCAAAUCAUUUACUUUCAUACGUACAUGGAGGGUAGCUACAUGAAUAUUUAUUUGUGUGUAGAUGGUGAUAUAUUCUUUUUUUGUGUGUAGAUGGUGAUAUCAAGAUUUGUUCACAGCAAGGGAAGGGUAUUGCAAGUUGAAUUCAUUGGCUAAGGUUUAAAGAACAUGCAAUAUUGUAGUGAAAUAUUCAUCAGAAAGUUCCUUGGCAGGGAUUGGAUCAAGAGAGUGACAUUCCAUCACCAAGAGAGUUAAGAAGUAGGUCUUUUGGAGCGAGCAACAAAGAAGCAUGAUCUUGUAUGAUAAAGAUUUUAUGUAUUAAGUAUUAUUUUUGAAAUUAUUGAAAAAUGUUAUCUUUGAUAUUUUUGUUUUUGGAUUAUGAUUUUUUAUUUUCAGAGACUGUAUGAAUUAAAAAUCUUGUUAUGAUGUUUGAUUUAAGGUUA